CUCAGUACGGCGAGUGAAGCGGCAAGCUCAAAUUUGAAAUCUGGGGGUCCGAGUUGUAAUUUGCAGAGAGUGCUUCGGGCGAGGCCGCGGUCUAAGUCCGCUGGAACAUGGUGUCAUAGAGGGUGAGAACCCCGUACGCGACCGUGGUCCGAGCCCAUGUGAAGCCUUUUCGAUGAGUCGAGUUGUUUGGGAAUGCAGCUCUAAGUGGGUGGUAAAUUUCAUCUAAAGCUAAAUACUGGCUGGAGACCGAUAGCGCACAASUAGAGUGAUCGAAAGAUGAAAAGCACUUUGAAAAGAGAGUUAAAAAGUACGUGAAAUUGUUGAAAGGGAAGCGCUUGCGACCAGACCUGCCCGUAGGCGAUCAGCCUCUGUUCUCAGGGGUGCACUCGCUCUACGAUCAGGCCAGCAUCGGUUUGGGCGGUCGGAUAAAGGCCUUGGGAAUGUAGCUCCCUCUCGGGGGAGUCUUAUAGCCCUCGUUGCAAUGCGGCCAGCCGGGACCGAGGACCGCGCUUCGGYUAGGAUGCUGGCGUAAUGGUUGCAAGCGACCCGUCUUGAAACACGGACCAAGGAGUCUAACAUCUAUGCGAGUGUUUGGGUGUCAAACCCAUACGCGGAAUGAAAGUGAACGGAGGUGAGAACCCUUAAGGGCGCAUCAUCGACCGAUCCAGAUGUCUUCGGAUGGAUUUGAGUAUGAGCAUAGCUGUUGGGACCCGAAAGAUGGUGAACUAUGCCUGAAUAGGG
Molecule: ribosomal RNA, 741 nt
Filed under: Canoparmelia texana
Lineage: Eukaryota; Fungi; Ascomycota; Lecanoromycetes; Lecanorales; Parmeliaceae
Description: partial large subunit ribosomal RNA
Source: RNAcentral